AUUAAGGUGAAAAAUUAAUUUUGAUGACAAUUUAAUACAUAAACAAUAUUGAAACCCCUCUAUACUUCUAAUCUACCAGUUUAGAUUAGUAAAGUAUAUAAUUCAUUCCCCAAUCUUCUAUUUUUAGAAACAAACUAUUUUUAGAAACAAACGUCACUGAUGAGUUAUAAAUAGCUCUUGGGAUGCUGUUUUGAGUGAUCUGAUGCACUUUUCCAUAAUAAAAUUACUGAAAAUCCUAAUAGUUUGAAAUAACACAUAUAUAUAAUUGUUCUGCCAUAAUAAUAGCUGAAGGCAACUUUAAUGUAAUCAUAAUUUUGUUAUACCUCUGUGCCGUCCAUCUAGUAUAUCUACCGACCCCAGAAGCAUACUCGCUUAUCAUUUAGUCAAAAGUUUAUAUUUUUGAAAAUUGUACGGUUAAUACACUCUAAUAGUUUUGGAUUAUAAAAUAUUGUCUAUAAACAUGAUUGUAUGGACAGCUUUUAAUGUAAUCUCAAUAUUAAAAGGAAAACGUUUUUGGGAUGGUUUUGUAUUGAUUUUACAAAAUUACUCUUGUGAAAUGUAUCAAUAUAAUAUUUUUGUAGAAACAUUGAUUUUUUUGUCAUACAGAUCAUUUUUAGCUUGACUAUUCGAAGAAUAUGAGAGCUAUUGUAGUCGCCCCGGCGUCAGCGUCCGCGUCUGCGUUGGUUAAAGUUUUUUGUAAAGUCAAAUAUCUCAAUUAUUACUUGAGAUAUUCAAUUGAAAUUUACAAUACUUAUUUAUAGUAACAAGGUACAUCAGAUUGACAAGUUGGAUAACUCUGCCUACAAUAUUGACAGAAUUAUGCCCCUUUUUUAACUUAGAAAUUUUGGUUAAAGGUCUUCAAAGAUAUUUACUUGAAACUUUACACAUGCACUAAGGGUCAUAAUUGGAGGGUCAUAAUUGUAUGUCACUGACCAAGUUCCAUAACUCUAUCUUGCAUUAAGGCUGAUUCAUAUCCCCUUUUCUACUUAGUCUCUUGGUUAAUGUUUACAAGCAAGUUUUACAUAUCUCAAUAACUAUUAAAGAUAUUUAUUUAAAACUUCACAUGCAUUUAGGGUCAUAAUUGUAGGUCACUGACAAACAUCCAUAAUUCUAUCUUGCAUUUAGGCUGAUUUUUCUCCCCUUUAUAAACUUAUAAAUUCAUGGUAAAGUUUUGCUUGUAAGCUGUUAUUUCAAUAACUAAUGAAGGGUUUUACCUUCCGAAUAGUCAAGCCAAUACUGUAUAAUUAGACUCUCUCUAAGGCCUAUAACAUGAAUUUAUAAAAAAAAAUUAGCCCUUUUGUGAACUUAAAAAAUUUAACAUUAUCAAGGCUCUUUUACUAUCAAGCACUUAGAAUAGUCGAGCAUGCUGUGUCCUACCGACAGCUCUUGUUACAGGUGUGGUUGAUGCAAAAAUACUGAAUCUCUUAAUUUUAUUUGUUUUUCUGGUUUGUAUCCCAAGUUUUACACAUUCUUUUGGUCAUAUCUCAACCGUCCUUCCACCUAUUAUCUUCCCUGAAUAACUUACCAGUAAUUACCAAUUACUCCACAAGUGACAGCCUAGAAAUUAUGACCACACAAUUUUGAUAUAGUUGUGAGAGACAAAUGAUUUUUAGACAAAAUGUCCAAAGAUCAAUUCGUCACAGAGAAAUUCUGUCUUGCUCAAGGAUCAAACCUGACCAACCCCUGGUUUACUAUUCUGUCUGGAUGCUCUCCCUAUUGAGCUAAAUGGGGGACCUUUCUUUGAUUAUAGGCACCUUAUACUUUCUUCAGUGUGUAAAUAGGAAGUAAUCUGUUCUCUAAAAUUAUAGAAUUUUAUUUAUACCUAGAAAUAUAUGCCACAACAUUAUAGAUUUGAUUAAUACCAGUACACAUUUAAUAUAAAAAUCUGUUCUUUAGAAUGAAUAGCUAGAAAUCUAGGAUUUUGAAUUAUAAAAUGGCUAGAAAUAUAAUAUGCUUUUGUAAUUCUAGAAUGGGUAAAUUAUUAGAAAUCUUAUUUAGACUUUUAAAUUAUAGACUAGGAAAACAGGUAGAAAUCUAUGCUUUCUUAGUCUAGAACAGGGUUAAUAAUUAGAAAUCUAGGCUUUUCAAUUCAGGUAGAAAUCUUGGCUUUCUAUUUUUAAAAUGGGUAAAUAAUUAGAAAUAAUUAUGGGCAUUUAAAUGAUAGAAUGGCUAAACAGGAAAAAAUCUUGGCUUUCUAUUUCUAGAAUAGGUAAAUAAUUAGAAAUAUGUGCUUUUUAAUUAUAGAAUUGGGCUUAACAGUACAUUUUGUAGAUAACUUAAACUGAAUCUCUGUUUAGUUUGAUCAUCUAAAGACAUAUCCUGCUAUUAAAUGGGCUUGUCCAGCUUCCAUUCUGGAACUAUCUAUUAUAUCUAUUUUUGGGGAUAUCAAGAUGAAAACUUUAAAUUGGUCAGCCUACAAUAUACAGUUAAUUCAGAAAGCACAGAUGUACAUGCUGGCCUGGCUACAUACUGGUUGCAUAAACUUAUGUCAGGCAGAUUAAAGGUUAGGAAAAUAAUCUCAUAAAUAUAAUCCACUUCACCUGGUCAUCUUAAAAAUAUAGUCAAAUAUAUUCACUCAAUUAAUACUUUCAUAAACAAAUAGUAAAGGGAUGUAAAUUGAAAUGUACUUUUAAAGUGGAUUGGUCUACAAUUAGCAUAUUUUUCGUAAGUAUUUUAAAAAUUGGUAAAAACUAUAGAAAUAUAUUAUUUCAAUAUUCGAUCUUAGGAAAUAUUUUCUGGAAAACAUAAUGUUGAUUGUUCUUAUGUGAUUUUUGUAAGAACAAAGUUAUGAUGAAUUAUAAUAUUUUGUUCUAAAACAAUUUAUUAUCUGCAAUAUCUGUUUAUAUGUCAUAAUUAUUAGAUCAUGUAUCCAACACAUACCGAGUUUCCUUUGCAGUUUGUUUACACAUGUGAUAGUUGAUACUGAAUAAUACCAACAUAAUUACAUAUGGUAUUAAAGGUCUUCUAUUGAUAGAUCCCUAUUCUGACCUUUUAUUUGAUUAACAAUAGAUUUAACCACAGACAUUGACAUGUGCUCUUUUGUUAAAACGGAGGUUGUGGUGAUAUUCCUAUUGUAUCCACUAAACAGAUUAAUAAUAUCUGUCAUAUGUUGCGGUUCGGACCGGAAUAUCCGUCCCGAGGUGACCCGCCCAUGGGCGGGUAACCUAGGGACGGAUAUUCCGAUUCGAACCGCAAACAUAUGUCAGAUAUUUUUUCUUGCAUAUUCUACAAUAUUUCAUUAUAUUUUAAAUUAGUUAUCAUUAUUUUCAACGGAAAUAAUUUAUAUCAUUACAGCCGUAACUAUUUUCUUACAACAGCGUAUGAAAUUGCAACUUCAUUCAUAACGAUAAAAUGACGUCAUCCUGAGCGUGCCAUUGUACAGCACGCGACUCAUCUGGCACCCCCCCAUGCCAGAUGAAAUUUCCGGCAUGGGUAAGACACACGGAAACGCCAGUCUGCUUUGCAAGAAACAUUAAUUGUAAUUAUAACACAGGAACUUGAAAUUCUAUCAAUAUUAAUGAUAAUAUCCAAAAUAUACCCCCUAUACAGUACAGUAUAAAUAAACCUAUUUAUACUGUUUAGGGGCUAUAUUUUGGAUAUUAUCAUUAAUAUUGAUAGAAUUUCAAGUUCCUUUGAAUUAUAAUUAGAGAGGUCAAGGAUCUAUGCAUUACAGACCAAUUCACUUUAAAAUAUAGAAAUAAGGUUCUGUUUAUUAUUAAGACACACCAAUACAGUGACUUUAUCAUCUGAUAUAUUGUAACUCAUCGCCAUAUUCAUGUUAAAAAUGCCUAAUAGAUCUCUCUUAUUAGAACAUCAUGGUUUGUAAAUAUACAUGUCAUAAAUAUUUUUAUUGAAGUGUGCAAUAAAAAAAUGAAUAGUA
Long non-coding RNA from Ruditapes philippinarum (Manila clam), 3880 nucleotides. RefSeq lists it as uncharacterized. The transcript is spliced from 2 exons. Lineage: Eukaryota; Metazoa; Mollusca; Bivalvia; Venerida; Veneridae. The record is from RefSeq and is a predicted model, not a curated record.